GAGCUCCUGUUUGCCUUCCGGAAGGAGGCACUGCUCACCAUGCGCCCGAGGCUGCUGCUGUCUGCUGCUGUUUCUGGGGUCCCACACAUCGUCCAAACAUCCUAUGAUGUGCGCUUUCUAGGAAGACUCCUGGAUUUCAUCAAUGUCUUGUCUUAUGACUUACAUGGAAGUUGGGAAAGGUUCACAGGACAUAAUAGCCCCCUCUUCUCUCUGCCUGAAGACCCCAAAUCUUCGGUAAGGAAAGGAAAGAUCUCAGGUGGUCCAGACAUCUGCCCCCCUGAGCUCAGGCCAUUGGCUCUUAGUAACAAGGAGGAGUCUGGAUUCUUCUUACCUGCAGGCAUAUGCUAUGAAUUAUUGGAGAAAGCUUGGGGCACCCUCAGAGAAGCUCAUCAUGGGGAUCCCCACCUAUGGACGUACCUUUCGCCUCCUCAAAGCCUCUAAGAAUGGGUUGCAGGCCAGAGCGAUCGGACCAGCAUCUCCAGGGAAGUACACCAAGCAAGAAGGCUUCUUGGCUUAUUUUGAGAUUUGUUCCUUUGUCUGGGGAGCGAAGAAGCACUGGAUUGAUUACCAGUAUGUCCCGUAUGCCAACAAGGGGAAAGAGUGGGUUGGCUAUGACAAUGCCAUCAGCUUCAGUUACAAG
This 640-nucleotide long non-coding RNA is filed under the name Homo sapiens (human). Its description in RNAcentral is "non-protein coding lnc-WDR77-3:1". The record is from RNAcentral. Lineage: Eukaryota; Metazoa; Chordata; Mammalia; Primates; Hominidae.